This is a long non-coding RNA of Octopus sinensis (East Asian common octopus), 166 nucleotides long. RefSeq lists it as uncharacterized. The transcript has 3 exons. Lineage: Eukaryota; Metazoa; Mollusca; Cephalopoda; Octopoda; Octopodidae. The record is from RefSeq and is a predicted model, not a curated record.
UAUGUAUGUAUGUUAUCAAUACGUUUCAUUUUUCACUUUCAGCUUUUGAAUUUUAGUAAAUAAGAAUUUGGAGAAAAAUAUUUUAAAAUAUGUAUUUUAAUGUCACAUCAAAAAUACUUAUUAUUGUUGUUUUCAUCGUAUAUUUCCAUAGAUACUUCGCAUAGCA